This is a long non-coding RNA of Sparus aurata (gilthead seabream), 3171 nucleotides long. NCBI's taxonomy places the organism in Eukaryota, Metazoa, Chordata, Actinopteri, Spariformes, Sparidae. The record is from Ensembl.
GCCUUACGAGCACUAUGAGACAUGCAGGAGAAGAAUGCACUUAGCAACUGCAAUUGCAAAGAAAGGGGGGGGGGGGGCGUUAAAUGUGCAGUGACAUGGCAAAAUCUCUCCUGGGCUUUCCACACACGCCCUUGAGCCCCUAUUCUCCACCCUCAUCCAUGAUGUCAGGAGGUUUUUUUUUUUGUUUCUUUUGGGCUGUGAUGUCUUGACUCAACCCAUUAGUUUAAAUAGUGACACAGUGCACACAGGUGUCACAUCUUUACCUGGGAUCCUGCUCAGAACAUCUCCCUCGCAAGCAGUCCACCUGUACGCCACGCCUGACAGGAUCCUCAUUUCAAGGAACUGCACUGCUUUUCACUUCUUAUCCCUAUUUCUCCCAUCACUGGAACUGAAGAUAGGAUCUACAGCUAUGGACAACAGACUAGUCCUCACAGUCCUGCUCGUGACACUGUCGUGGCUAUCCGUGGGCACCUACGCGCAAAGCACGGCCACGAGCGCAGCACCAGGAAACAACAUGACCACGGCAUCAGGAAACAACAUGACCAUGGCACCAGGAAACAACAUGACCACAGCACAAGUAAACAUGACCGCAGCACCAGUAAACAUGACCACAGCACAAGUAAACAUGACCGCAGCACCAGCGGCUUCCCCACUGACAGCCAACACCACAGUGGAAAAUCUUGAGACAACUAUUAACAGAACAGGAUGUGGGACCGAGCAGCUCUGUGCAGCUGAGCCUGCUUCGUGCGACCCCGCUGUUGCAGGAUCAUGCUUCUUUCUCUCUGCUAGGCAGACGAGCGGUCAAAAUUUUGAGUUUGGGCUCUCAGGAGAGGCAGAUGGCUACAUCGCUGCCACACUGUCAAGUGACAGCAAUUUGGGCGGCAACGACACAACCUACAUCUGUGCGAACAACAACAGUGUUGUGGCAUUCUUUUCUGCUCUCCUCAACAAUGGCAUGCUGACACUGUCAGAGCUGAAUGUGAACAACGUGAGGGGCAGGGUCACUGGAAAUAGGAUCCAGUGUACAUUCGCUGCCACCGUACCAGAUACUAGUGUAACUUCUAGAUCAAACAGAGCAGCAAGUCUAGCACUCGCAAUCUCCACUGGACCUUUCAACAGCACUUCUGGUGCUCUGGGAGCCCCAACCACCCGACUACUGAGUCCUGUUGUAAACCUGGCCAAUCCUAACACCACCGUCGUCAAUCAGAUUUCGACAACCACCAACGCCCCCACCACUUCCUCUACCACCACUUCCUCUCCCAUCACUUCCACUCCCACCGCUCCCACUCCCACCAUGACCACCAACCACGCCAUCACAUUCCAGCAAUCACUGAUGCAAGCCAUGCUGAUAGCUGCCGGUGUGCUGGCUCUCUUCAUGCUAUGAGGAACCCCUCAUGAGUCAAGACAAGAAACUCGUUAUUGACUUAUUUAAAUAAAUGUCAGUGUUGCCUCUGUAGUCAUUCAGCAGUGGUGAACCCUGCUAUAAUGAAAAAAAUAGAAAUUAAUGUGAUAAAUUAGCCUUCCAUUCCCACCAAACGCUAAUAGGUAUUUAGAUUUAGCUCUCUUCAGCCGAAGUUAAACUGACCCAAAAAUGACUCCCACCCACCACUGUUAACAAAGAAUUACAGGGGAAACAUCACAUGUGUAAUGGAAUAUAGUCUGUUAAGCAUCUCGCAGGAGCUUGAUUAAACACAGUUCAGCCCAGGUUAUCAGGAUUCGUUUUGUAUCAACUCACAGCAGGGAAAGUAGGACUGGUGGAGGGGGGUCACUCUUUGACAGCCUUUCUGCAGACUGCUUUCACAACUGUAACAGGCUCUGAAACAAACAGGUGAAUCCAAUUUGAAGAAUUUUUAAUUGUAACUUGUGUUACUUGUUUUUGAAUGUUUUCUGACCAAAGGACAGCUGGAUUAUUGUCUUAAAAGUUACUGAAUUGCUGGCCAAACAUCUAUGACAGAUGUACAAAUAGCUACAAUUAGACACAAAUGGCAAUUUAAAUUACAAUUACAACCAUAAAGAGCCAUACAGAAAAUUUAGGGUUUGAGGUCUGGUUACCUUUUACUCCCACAUUUAUUAAUGUCAGUAAAAACCUCAUGAUUCGGUAACAAGAUCAGUUGGUAAAUCACAACAGUGCAUUCAUGUCAAAACCUUUUGUCAAAAGCUGAAGUACUAAUGAAGGACUUUUUUGUUAAUCAUGAUGUUCUUUUGUUUCCCUACACAAUGGUUAGAUGUGACUUUUGUAAAGGACCAUAAUUAUUUUUCAUUUUGGGUGUGUCACUAGGCAUUCACAAUCAAAAAAUAUGUGUUGUCCUUUUGUGUCACUCACAGUGGUGUCAGAAAAUGGCAGAUAUGUCCGUUUUCUCAUUAUGUUAUUAGUAUAUUGAUGUUAUUCUCUUUAGUGUGAAUGUACAUAUCUUGGAUGUUUCAUCAAUGCUUUUACAAUGAAGCCUUCACUGGCUGAUAUUUUCAUGUGCGCAUGUUAUGAGUAAGUGCACAUUCAAGUGAGCAGUUGCUUAUAAAGAAAGUUAUGAUAUGAUACCAAAUAUUGGUGAAAUUGAUUUUGCAUAUUGCAUUAUGUAACAACUGCAUUUUUAUUACAUAUUUUUGAAAUAAAUAUUUUACCCAAACUGAUUAUCUUUGUGGAAUAAAUAGGCUACAUUAAAACUGACACUGAAAUUAUAGCAGCAGGCCUUCUUGGCAUUUGUAACUUUCUUGAUUUGAAUUCCCGUGAAAUAUGUUUUCAGCAUCAGUUCAUUGGAAUAUGCUGACAAAAAGCAGUCGUAUAAUCAACAAUCAUAUAUGGGGAUUUCAGAAUAUUCAAAAGGUAAAGAUAGGACAUGAAAGUAUAGUGAAAGCAUUAAUGUGUUAAUUACAGGAUGACAAAUACCAAUUAUUUAAAAUGUUGAGCAAUCUCUCGACUAUGUUCUCUUGUAUAAUCAUUAAGUUGUUUUGUUGCCUCCCAAAGCCCAAAAAUAAAUCCUCAAAUGUCUUGUUUUGUCCACAGCCCACAUUAUUCAUAAAGGAGUAAAUAACACACACAUUUUUGCACUUGAGAAGCUUAUACCAGAUUUUUUUUUCUUCUUGAAAAGUUACACAAACCAAUUGUGAAUCAAAAUAAGUAGAUGAGAAGUAAUUGAUUUACUGUUGCAGCUCUAGUUAAUAACACAAAUGUCC